RNAcentral lists this ribosomal RNA (254 nucleotides) under uncultured bacterium. Its description in RNAcentral is "partial 16S ribosomal RNA". It matches the Rfam family "Bacterial small subunit ribosomal RNA", at positions 524 to 776 of the family's 1533-position model. The record is from RNAcentral.
UACGGAGGGUGCUAGCGUUGUCCGGAUUUACUGGGCGUAAAGGGCGCGUAGGCGGUCAGCACAAGUCAGUUGUGAAAUCUCCGGGCUUAACUCGGAAAGGUCAACUGAUACUGUGCGACUAGAGUGCAGAAGGGGCAACUGGAAUUCUCGGUGUAGCGGUGAAAUGCGUAGAUAUCGAGACGAACACCUGCGGCGAAGGCGGGUUGCUGGGCUGACACUGACGCUGAUGCGCGAAAGCCAGGGGAGCGAACGGG